ACUCCUCCUGUGCUCGUGCAUCNCGAUCGAUGAAGAACGCAGCGAAAUGCGAUAAGUAAUGUGAAUUGCAGAAUUCAGUGAAUCAUCGAAUCUUUGAACGCACAUUGCGCCCCUUGGUAUUCCGAGGGGCAUGCCUGUUCGAGCGUCAUUAUAACCACUCAAGCCUAGCUUGGUAUUGGGGUUCGCGUGUUCGCGGCCCUUAAAAUCAGUGGCGGUGCCGUCUGGCUCUAAGCGUAGUAAUUUCUCUCGCUAUAGGGUUCCGGUGGUUACUUGCCAAAACCCCCCAUUUUCUAGGUUGACCUCGGAUCAGGUAGGGAUACCCGCUGAACUUAA
Molecule: ribosomal RNA, 333 nt
Filed under: uncultured Meliniomyces
Lineage: Eukaryota; Fungi; Ascomycota; Leotiomycetes; Helotiales; Helotiaceae
Description: eukaryotic LSU rRNA
Rfam family: 5.8S ribosomal RNA (bases 26-148)
Source: RNAcentral